UGUAAGGUGCCUGAUUAAAGGAUAAUCUUGAUAGGAUUAAUAAUGUGACCCCCCGCCACCCUUGCAG
RNAcentral lists this transfer RNA (67 nucleotides) under Suinzona borowieci. Its description in RNAcentral is "tRNA-Ile". Lineage: Eukaryota; Metazoa; Arthropoda; Insecta; Coleoptera; Chrysomelidae. The record is from RNAcentral.